CUUGUGUUAAAGAUUAAGCCAUGCGUGCCAGAGUAUAGGUGGACAAAGAACCGAGACUGCGGAUGGCUCAUUAAAUCAGUCAGAAUUAGUUUGGUGAAGCGUGGAAUGAGAAGGAUAACCCUGUUAAUUGUAGAGCUAAUACAAGAAAAGGAUAUUGGAUGGUGUGGUGUUUAUUGCACCGGUCCAAUAGCAUUUAUCAGCUCGGUUUUCGUUGUUGUGUGUGAUUUCAGUCAUGGGGUGACCUGUGGUUGACAGCAGCGAGAAUGGGAGAUGACAAGGGAGAGUGUGUCUGAGGGAGCAAGGCCCAAGAGUCCAGGAAGCAAAAGGAAAAGCAAGUUGUGACAGUGUUGUGUGUGUGCAAUGCAUGUGUGUGAUGCUGGGAGCUUGAAGGCGACGGGGACAGAUGGGUGGCACUUAGGCAUGAGGACGACUUGUGAUCUCACAGCAAGACAUCCGUGAGAGCAAUGAAGAAGGAUAAAUAGGGGAAAGCAGUGUUUCUUUUUGUAGGGGCAACUCGAUGAGAAGGGAUGCUGUGGAAGCCAGACAGCGAGUCGUGAGAACUUGAAUGGCGACAUUUGAGGACGAUGGACCAAAGAAAAGACUGACCUAUCAAGUUGAUGGUAGGAUAGGGGCCUACCAAGCUAAUAACGGGUGACGGGGAAUUAGGGUUUGAUUCCGGAGAGGGAGCCUGAGAAAUGGCUACCACUUCCAAGGAAGGCAGCAGGCGCGUAAAUUACUCAGUGCCACCAGGGCGAGGUAGUGACGACAAAUACUGAUGUUUUCUUGGCGUUUAGCUGAGGGAGCAAUUGGAAUGAAAGCAAGACAAAGAUAUGGGACGAGUAGCAAUUGGAGGGCAAGUCUGGUGCCAGCAGCCGCGGUAAUUCCAGCUCCAAGAGUGUAUAUUAAAGCUGUUGCGAUUAAAACGCUCGUAGUUUAUGUGAUGGUUUUGUUUGUAGUGUUGUGUGUAAGACCAUGUUUUUUAGGCAUGGUUUCGCAGACAGGAUGACAAGACAGGACAGGUGGUGCAGUUUGGAGAUUGUGCUUGGAUGGACGAUAAGGAAGAACUGGAUGGAAUACUUUGAACAAAAUAGGACGAUAGAGGUAGAUAGAAGAGUAUGAUGGAUAUAUUAGCAUAGGAUAAUAGAGGUGUUUGAUGGCGUGUCAGAAUGGAGCACAUGGCAAGGGACAAGAAAUCUGUGGUGGCUGUGUUUGUGGAAAUGGUUUUGAUGGUGUGUAAAAUGGUGGCAGAUGGAACACGUGUUGCUUUUGCCAGAAUGGACACUGUUGGAAAGAGUGAGUGGUGACACACGCGGACAGACAAAGACAGCGAGGACAGAGAAAUAGACCUGUUGGGUGACUGAUGGGACGACCUUGGGAUGUGUGAGGAAGACGGAGAGACGUUGAGCCAUGGGACAGACAAAGAAUAGGAACAAAUGGGGUGGUGGAUAUUUUCCUGAGAGAGGUGAAAUUCAAUGACCAGGAAAAGAUGGACGAGAGCGAAAGCAUUCCACAAAGAUGUUUUCAUAGAUCAAGAACGAAAGUUGGGGGAUCGAGGACGAUCAGAUACCGUCGUAGUCUCAACCAUAAACGAUGCCGAUUUGGGAUUGGAUGCAGAAUCCCAUUUUCUGUUUCUUUGCUUUUUCAGAAGGCAAAGGACAUGGAAUGGAAAUCGAAAAGAAGCACAUGUGUGUUGUGGGAACACAAUGGAUGUGUGUGGACAGAAUAGACUCUUCCAGGACUUUUGAGAGAAAUCGAGAAGUUGAUGGGCUUCGGGGGGAGUAUGGUCGCAAGGCAGAAACUUAAAGGAAUUGACGGGAGGGCACACCAGGAGUGGAGCGUGCGGCUUAAUUUGACUCAACACGGGGAAACUUACCAGGGCCAGAUAGCAUGGGGAUUGACAGAUUGAGAGCUCUUUCAUGAUAUGGUAGGUGGUGGUGCAUAGUCGUUCUUAGUUGGUGGUGUGAAUUGUCUGGUUAAUUCCGAUAACGAACGAGACCUUGGCUUGCUAUGUAGAUUUGUGUGAUGGCAGCUUUGUUUUUUCUUUUUCUGGUAUUUCUUUGUGGUUGUUUUCGGACAGACACAGAGGACAGAAAAGGGGGCAAGGCAGGGUGACAUGGGAUUUCGUAGAAGGACAUUUGAUAGUAAAGGAAUUGAAGGAAGGGAGAGGCAAUAACAGGUCUGUGAUGCCCUUGGAUGCUCUGGGCCGCACGCGCGCUACAAUGCUAUAUUCAGAGUGUGAGUGGUUUCGUUGUUUGUGACUGAUGUGUGUAAAAAGCAAGUUGGUUGUGAAUGACAAAGCAAGGGACCGACAUUGAGAAAUGGAGGGAAGCAAAGGAAAGGAUAGCAAGGUGGGGAUAGAUGAUUGGAAUUGUUUGUCUUGAACAAGGAAUUCCUAGUAAGCGCAAGUGAGUAGCUUGUGCUGAUUACGUCCCUGCCCUUUGUGCACACCGCCCGUCGCUCCUACCGAUUGGGUAAUGCGGUGAAAAUACUGGAUGUUUUGUUGUCUCUUUUGGGGGGCAGGAGAAUAGAAAGUAAUUGAACCUUAAUAUCUAGAGGAAGGAGAAGUCGUAACAAGGUAUCCG
Molecule: ribosomal RNA, 2582 nt
Filed under: Endolimax sp. TDP-2
Lineage: Eukaryota; Evosea; Mastigamoebida; Endamoebidae
Description: partial 18S ribosomal RNA
Rfam family: Eukaryotic small subunit ribosomal RNA (bases 487-2582)
Source: RNAcentral